Molecule: transfer RNA, 72 nt
Filed under: Balaenoptera physalus (Fin whale)
Lineage: Eukaryota; Metazoa; Chordata; Mammalia; Artiodactyla; Balaenopteridae
Also listed under: 1 other name
Rfam family: tRNA
About the family: Transfer RNA (tRNA) molecules are approximately 80 nucleotides in length.
Source: Rfam by way of RNAcentral
UCCCUGGUGGUCUAGUGGUUAGGAUUCUGCACUUUCACUGCUGUGGCCCGGGUUCAAUCCCUGGUCAGGGAA